Molecule: ribosomal RNA, 1435 nt
Filed under: Escherichia coli
Lineage: Bacteria; Pseudomonadati; Pseudomonadota; Gammaproteobacteria; Enterobacterales; Enterobacteriaceae
Description: partial 23S ribosomal RNA
Rfam family: Bacterial large subunit ribosomal RNA
Source: RNAcentral
GUGGAUGCCCUGGCAGUCAGAGGCGAUGAAGGACGUGCUAAUCUGCGAUAAGCGUCGGUAAGGUGAUAUGAACCGUUAUAACCGGCGAUUUCCGAAUGGGGAAACCCAGUGUGUUUCGACACACUAUCAUUAACUGAAUCCAUAGGUUAAUGAGGCGAACCGGGGGAACUGAAACAUCUAAGUACCCCGAGGAAAAGAAAUCAACCGAGAUUCCCCCAGUAGCGGCGAGCGAACGGGGAGCAGCCCAGAGCCUGAAUCAGUGUGUGUGUUAGUGGAAGCGUCUGGAAAGGCGCGCGAUACAGGGUGACAGCCCCGUACACAAAAAUGCACAUGCUGUGAGCUCGAUGAGUAGGGCGGGACACGUGGUAUCCUGUCUGAAUAUGGGGGGACCAUCCUCCAAGGCUAAAUACUCCUGACUGACCGAUAGUGAACCAGUACCGUGAGGGAAAGGCGAAAAGAACCCCGGCGAGGGGAGUGAAAAAGAACCUGAAACCGUGUACGUACAAGCAGUGGGAGCACGCUUAGGCGUGUGACUGCGUACCUUUUGUAUAAUGGGUCAGCGACUUAUAUUCUGUAGCAAGGUUAACCGAAUAGGGGAGCCGAAGGGAAACCGAGUCUUAACUGGGCGUUAAGUUGCAGGGUAUAGACCCGAAACCCGGUGAUCUAGCCAUGGGCAGGUUGAAGGUUGGGUAACACUAACUGGAGGACCGAACCGACUAAUGUUGAAAAAUUAGCGGAUGACUUGUGGCUGGGGGUGAAAGGCCAAUCAAACCGGGAGAUAGCUGGUUCUCCCCGAAAGCUAUUUAGGUAGCGCCUCGUGAAUUCAUCUCCGGGGGUAGAGCACUGUUUCGGCAAGGGGGUCAUCCCGACUUACCAACCCGAUGCAAACUGCGAAUACCGGAGAAUGUUAUCACGGGAGACACACGGCGGGUGCUAACGUCCGUCGUGAAGAGGGAAACAACCCAGACCGCCAGCUAAGGUCCCAAAGUCAUGGUUAAGUGGGAAACGAUGUGGGAAGGCCCAGACAGCCAGGAUGUUGGCUUAGAAGCAGCCAUCAUUUAAAGAAAGCGUAAUAGCUCACUGGUCGAGUCGGCCUGCGCGGAAGAUGUAACGGGGCUAAACCAUGCACCGAAGCUGCGGCAGCGACGCUUAUGCGUUGUUGGGUAGGGGAGCGUUCUGUAAGCCUGUGAAGGUGUGCUGUGAGGCAUGCUGGAGGUAUCAGAAGUGCGAAUGCUGACAUAAGUAACGAUAAAGCGGGUGAAAAGCCCGCUCGCCGGAAGACCAAGGGUUCCUGUCCAACGUUAAUCGGGGCAGGGUGAGUCGACCCCUAAGGCGAGGCCGAAAGGCGUAGUCGAUGGGAAACAGGUUAAUAUUCCUGUACUUGGUGUUACUGCGAAGGGGGGACGGAGAAGGCUAUGUUGGCCGGGCGACGGUU